RNAcentral lists this ribosomal RNA (1209 nucleotides) under uncultured bacterium. RNAcentral describes it as "bacterial SSU rRNA". It matches the Rfam family "Bacterial small subunit ribosomal RNA", at positions 246 to 1469 of the family's 1533-position model. The record is from RNAcentral.
UAGUUGGGUGAGGUCAAGGCUCACCAAGGCAAUGACACAUAACUGGUCUGAGAGGAUGAUCAGUCACACUGGAACUGAGACACGGUCCAGACUCCUACGGGUAGGCAGCAGUGGGUGAAUAUUACACAAUGGAGGAUACUCUGAUGUAGCAACGCCGCGUGGAGGAUGACACAUUUCGGUGCGUAAACUCCUUUUAUUAGGGAAGAUAAUGACGGUACCUAAUGAAUAAGCACCGGCUAACUCCGUGCCAGCAGCCGCGGUAAUACGGAGGGUGCAAGCGUUACUCGGAAUCACUGGGCGUAAAGCGCGCGCAGGCGGGUUUGUAAGUUGGAAGUGAAAUCCACUAGCUUAACCAGUGAACUGCUUCCAAAACUACUUACCUAGAGUCUGGGAGGGGAAGAUGGAAUUAGUUGUGUAGGGGUAAAAUCCGUAGAGAUAACUAGGAAUAUCAAAAGCGAAGGCGAUCUUCUGGAACAGUACUGACGCUGAGGCGCGAAAGCGUGGGGAGCAAACAGGAUUAGAUACCCUGGUAGUCCACGCCCUAAACGAUGAAUGUUAGUCGUCGGUAUGCUCGUCAUAUCGGUGAUGCACUUAACAGAUUAAACAUUCCGCCUGGGGAGUACGGUCUGCAAGAUUAAAACCUCAAAGGAAUAGACGGGGACCCGCACAAGUGGUGGAGCAUGUGGUUUUAUUCGAGGAUACUGCGAAGAACCUUACCUAGCCUCUGACAUUGAUAGAAUCCGCUAGAGAUAGUGGAGUGCCAGUUUACUGGAGCUUGAAAACAGGUGCUGCACGGCUGUCGUCAGCUCGUGUCGUGAGAUGUUGGGUUAAGUCCCGCAACGAGCGCAACCCUCGUGACUAGUUACUAACGGUUCGGCCGAGGACUCUAGUCAGACUGCCUUCGCAAGGAGGAGGAAGGUGAGGACGACGUCAAGUCAUCAUGGCCCUUACGGCUAGGGCGACACACGUGCUACAAUGGGCAGGACAAUGAGACGCAAUACCGCGAGGUGGAGCAAAUCUAUAAACCUGCUCUCAGUUCGGAUUGUAGUCUGCAACUCGACUACAUGAAGCCGGAAUCACUAGUAAUCGUAGAUCAGCCAUGCUACGGUGAAUACGUUCCCGGGUCUUGUACUCACCGCCCGUCACACCAUGGGAGUUGAUUUCACCCGAAGCGGGGAAGCUAAACUGGCUACCCUCCACGGUGGAAUC